This 438-nucleotide ribosomal RNA is filed under the name uncultured bacterium. Its description in RNAcentral is "bacterial SSU rRNA". It matches the Rfam family "Bacterial small subunit ribosomal RNA", at positions 29 to 501 of the family's 1533-position model. The record is from RNAcentral.
AACGAACGCUGGCGGCAGGCCUAACACAUGCAAGUCGAGCGCACUUAUGACCUUCGGGUUAUAGGCGAGCGGCGGACGGGUUAGUAACGCGUGGGAACGUACCCUUUACUACGGAAUAGCCUUUGGAAACGAAGAGUAAUACCGUAUACGCCCUUUGGGGGAAAGAUUUAUCGGUAAAGGAUCGGCCCGCGUAAGAUUAGAUAGUUGGUGGGGUAAUGGCCUACCAAGUCUACGAUCUUUAGCUGGUUUGAGAGGAUGAUCAGCAACACUGGGACUGAGACACGGCCCAGACUCCUACGGGAGGCAGCAGUGGGGAAUCUUAGACAAUGGGCGAAAGCCUGAUCUAGCCAUGCCGCGUGAGUGAAGAAGGCCCUAGGGUCGUAAAACUCUUUCGCCAGAGAUGAUAAUGACAGUAUCUGGUAAAGAAACCCCGCUAAC